UGAGGGGCAUCUAUGCUUAUGGUACCUUUUUUUUUUUGCAUAUAUUUGCAAAUUUCAUACAAAUGUUAGGGUCAUUCUUAAUGCUUAUUUUGUUUUGGAGUCAGUUUUUACCUAAUUCCUUGCUUACCUUUUCUUAUGAGAUUUUGAAUGAGACUAAUGUGGUUGGAAUCCUACUGUUUUGUUUGGCAAUUUAACUCUUGCUGAAG
Molecule: unclassified non-coding RNA, 206 nt
Filed under: Hevea brasiliensis (rubber tree)
Lineage: Eukaryota; Viridiplantae; Streptophyta; Magnoliopsida; Malpighiales; Euphorbiaceae
Source: RNAcentral